GAACAUGUAGUGAAAUAAUAAUAAUAAGUUGCAAACUUAUAGAUGCUAAUGCCGUGAUCA
RNAcentral lists this transfer RNA (60 nucleotides) under Bahadzia jaraguensis. Its description in RNAcentral is "transfer RNA Cysteine". Lineage: Eukaryota; Metazoa; Arthropoda; Malacostraca; Amphipoda; Hadziidae. The record is from RNAcentral.